This 1173-nucleotide long non-coding RNA is filed under the name Salmo salar (Atlantic salmon). Its description in RNAcentral is "lncRNA (ENSSSAG00000118007.1)". Lineage: Eukaryota; Metazoa; Chordata; Actinopteri; Salmoniformes; Salmonidae. The record is from RNAcentral.
UUUCAAUUGUCUCAAGGCUUAAAAAUCCUCCUUUAACCUGUCUCCUCCCCUUCAUCUACACUGAUUGAAGUGGAUUUAACAGGUGAUAUCAAUGAAGGAUCAUAGCUUCACUUGAAUUCACCUGGCCCAGCAGUAGAGAUACCAGUGUUUACUCUGUUUGGUGAGGGGAGGAGCAUGGCGAAAGCCCAGAAGUUCUGCAGGGAGUACUAUGAGGAACUGGCCACCAUCUUCAAUGCUGAGGACCAGAUAGCAGCUCUGAGAGCAGUGUCAGCACACAGCCUCACUGACGCUGUCUGGGUCCACCGCCAGUACCACGCCUUCUGGCCCAAACUGGGCUAUUGGAAUCCACCAAAUGCAAAGUGUGUUGUUCAUGGACAAAGAGCAAAAGUAUGGGGUUUGAGAGAUUGCACAAAUCCAUGUCAAUUUGUGUGCCAGAAAAAAAAGAGAAUGAAGCAGACCAUUGUAAGGAUGUCUCUGAAAUCUAACUCAGGAGCUGACCUCAAUGACCCAGUGGUAAAGGAACAGAUGUUGGAGCAGAUCAGAAAUCAGCUGGCCAAGAACGGGAACUUCAUCCUAGACCUAUCCUGGAGAGAACUGCCUAAUGGAGAUGUUUUUCGCAAGACAGUUGAACUUGAAAGCCCUGAAGAAGGUCACUGUGGGUCUGGAUGAAGAGGACCAGCCAUGAUGCUGUAGCAGGAAAUGGAUGGAAGGUCCAAGAAAACUAAAAUAGUCAAGCUCUCUGUAAAUAACCCUUGUACCUAAUAAUAUAUUACCGUAUAUAAAUAACAUUAUCUUAGUUCACGGACAAUGUUUUUUCUUUAAUGAUUGAUAGCUUUAUGCUUUUGAAUGAGAAAUAGGAUGUCAAGUUAUGUUAGGCUAGUUUUAAACUCUACAAUGUUUUACUAUUGUAACAUCAAAUUAUAAUCUAAGAUUUUUGUUGGUGUAUGAAUGUAAUGUAAUAAUAAUGUUUGUUGUACAUAAGGGCAAUUUGAUUCAUGAAGAGAAGAGGAGUAAAACGGACAUUUGUGUUUGUUCAAGUUUGUAGUUUAAACAUGCAUAGUAACACGUUUUAGUGAGGGAUUUUCAUAGUGUAUAAUUCUUCAUAAUGAUGUUACAAACUCACUUAUGGAUGUAACUGUUGACAUUCUUAAAUAAAAUAUGUUUGAUUAGUGA